Trichonephila clavata is the source of this 73-nucleotide non-coding RNA. The record is from the annotation of a GenBank genome assembly. Lineage: Eukaryota; Metazoa; Arthropoda; Arachnida; Araneae; Nephilidae.
GUCCAUGCAGUGCGAUGAAUAGCACGUUGGACAAAUAAUCCAAACGUCAUCGGUUCAAAUCCGACCUGGGAUG